Molecule: transfer RNA, 98 nt
Filed under: Geobacteraceae bacterium
Lineage: Bacteria; Pseudomonadati; Thermodesulfobacteriota; Desulfuromonadia; Geobacterales; Geobacteraceae
Also listed under: 1 other name
Description: tRNA-Sec
Rfam family: Selenocysteine transfer RNA
Source: RNAcentral
GGAAGCACAUCGGGCGCUGGUGGCUCGCGCGGUCUUCAAAACCGUUGAGAGGGGUGAGAAACUCCUUUGGCAGGUUCGAUUCCUGUGUGCUUCCGCCA